Molecule: ribosomal RNA, 492 nt
Filed under: uncultured bacterium
Lineage: Bacteria
Description: partial 16S ribosomal RNA
Rfam family: Bacterial small subunit ribosomal RNA
Source: RNAcentral
AGUGAACGCUGGCGGUAGGCCUAACACAUGCAAGUCGAACGGCAGCACAGUAAGAGCUUGCUCUUACGGGUGGCGAGUGGCGGACGGGUGAGGAAUACAUCGGAAUCUACUUUUUCGUGGGGGAUAAGGUAGGGAAACUUACGCUAAUACCCCAUACGACCUACGGGUGAAAGCAGGGGACCUUCGGACCUUGCGCGAUUAAAUGAGCCGAUGUCGGAUUAGCUAGUUGGCGGGGUAAAGGCCCACCAAGGCGACGAUCCGUAGCUGGUCUGAGAGGAUGAUCAGCCACACUGGAACUGAGACACGGUCCAGACUCCUACGGGAGGCAGCAGUGGGGAAUAUUGGACAAUGGGCGCAAGCCUGAUCCAGCCAUACCGCGUGGGUGAAGAAGGCCUUCGGGUUGUAAAGCCCUUUUGUUGGGAAAGAAAAGCAGCAGGUUAAUACCCCGCUGUUCUGACGGUACCCAAAGAAUAAGCACCGGCUAACUUCGUG